AAUUGGUCAAAGUGUUGAUAACAAAGAAAUCUUGAAAGAGUUCAGAGGUAAAAACUUGGAGAGCCUAAAGAAAUAAAGAUGCACCUAGAGUAGGUAUGUCAAGAUUGCUCAAUACUGUCCUUAUGAUUUUUCUCUUCUCUCAGUUGAGUUAUGGACUAGUGUAGAGUCGAUGGGAAGAUAGAGGGUAGAGAAAGUAACCCUUG
This 203-nucleotide long non-coding RNA is filed under the name Elaeis guineensis (African oil palm). RNAcentral describes it as "long non-coding RNA (EGUI_LNC050010)". The record is from RNAcentral. Lineage: Eukaryota; Viridiplantae; Streptophyta; Magnoliopsida; Arecales; Arecaceae.